This 116-nucleotide ribosomal RNA is filed under the name Salmonella enterica subsp. enterica serovar Typhimurium. The record is from RNAcentral. Lineage: Bacteria; Pseudomonadati; Pseudomonadota; Gammaproteobacteria; Enterobacterales; Enterobacteriaceae.
UCUGGCGGCAGUAGCGCGGUGGACCCACCUGACCCCAUGCCGAACUCAGAAGUGAAACGCCGUAGCGCCGAUGGUAGUGUGGGGUCUCCCCAUGCGAGAGUAGGGAACUGCCAGAC